RNAcentral lists this ribosomal RNA (486 nucleotides) under uncultured bacterium. Its description in RNAcentral is "partial 16S ribosomal RNA". It matches the Rfam family "Bacterial small subunit ribosomal RNA", at positions 30 to 507 of the family's 1533-position model. The record is from RNAcentral.
AUUGAACGCUGGCGGCAUGCCUUACACAUGCAAGUCGAACGGCAGCACGGGUGCUUGCACCUGGUGGCGAGUGGCGAACGGGUGAGUAAUACAUCGGAACAUGUCCUGUAGUGGGGGAUAGCCCGGCGAAAGCCGGAUUAAUACCGCAUACGAUCUACGGAUGAAAGCGGGGGACCUUCGGGCCUCGCGCUAUAGGGUUGGCCGAUGGCGGAUUAGCUAGUUGGUGGGGUAAAGGCCUACCAAGGCGACGAUCAGUAGCUGGUCUGAGAGGACGAUCAGCCACACUGGGACUGAGACACGGCCCAGACUCCUACGGGAGGCAGCAGUGGGGAAUUUUGGACAAUGGGCGAAAGCCUGAUCCAGCAAUGCCGCGUGUGUGAAGAAGGCCUUCGGGUUGUAAAGCACUUUUGUCCGGAAAGAAAUCCUUGGCCCUAAUACGGUCGGGGGAUGACGGUACCGGAAGAAUAAGCACCGGCUAACUACGUG